UAAUAAGUGUUUUAUUGGCACUUUUUAAAAUCCAUAUCCACCUUGUGUGCAAUGUCAGUCGAUCUUCUUCAUGGAGAUCGACCAAACAUCAACCUUUAAUCUUUAACUCUUUGUCUUAAAAAUAUUAUGAAUAAACAAUUCAAAAUA
Molecule: unclassified non-coding RNA, 147 nt
Filed under: soil metagenome
Description: partial internal transcribed spacer 1
Source: RNAcentral